CGCGUAGGCGGUUUGUUUAGUUAGGCGUGAAAUUCCUGGGCUUAACCUGGGGACUGCGCUUAAUACAGGCAGACUUGAGUUCUGAAGAGGGUCGUGGAAUUCCCAGUGUAGAGGUGAAAUUCGUAGAUAUUGGGAAGAACACCGGUGGCGAAGGCGGCGACCUGGUCCGAUACUGACGCUGAGGCGCGAAAGCGUGGGGAGCAAACA
Molecule: ribosomal RNA, 207 nt
Filed under: uncultured bacterium
Lineage: Bacteria
Description: partial 16S ribosomal RNA
Rfam family: Bacterial small subunit ribosomal RNA
Source: RNAcentral